Molecule: long non-coding RNA, 666 nt
Filed under: Marmota monax (woodchuck)
Lineage: Eukaryota; Metazoa; Chordata; Mammalia; Rodentia; Sciuridae
Source: RNAcentral
CCUUAAUAAAGCUUUCCUCUCUCCCUGUAAUUUCUAGAUGGAAAAGGGAGAUUCAGAAUCAUUACAUUUUAAUUAUAGUAAUAUGUUUUGUGGUUUCCAAAUUUUAGUUUUCAAGUUAUGGCCAGUUUCUACAGUUAUGGGAUGUUUUAUAUUGAGAUGAUUAUAAGGUAACUUACUUAAAAGGCAAAAAGAAAUGCCAAGGUAAGUCUGCAAACAUUUACUUCAACAUUUAAAGUCUGUUAACGGCUCAAUUCAAGUAACGUGUUGUUGCAUGAUUACGGAAAGCUAGGUUUCUUUUAACUAGUUAGAAUACUGUUGAAUAAUAUAAAAACAAUGGCUUUUAUGUUUAUUUUUCUCUGAGGCUUAUAGUUUUAGUAAUCACAUUAGUAUUACAUUCCAGAAUUCCAGAGGAAUGACAUAAAAACUGGCAUGGAGAUUAUGAAAAAUUACCAGAAAAUGAAAAGGAAAAAGAGCAAAAGAGAGAGGUGGGGAGAGGAAAAGAGAACAGAAGGAAAGAAAAGGGAAAACAGUUUGGAUCAGUGGUUGGAUUCCUUACUUAUUAGCUCAUUGACUCUUUCAAAACAUUAACAUGCUAGUGAUAAGCCUUUGGCAAAUAAGUUAACCUCUUAGCCCAAGUUCUGAAGAAAAAUAUUUUUUAAAUAAUCA